Centruroides sculpturatus (bark scorpion) is the source of this 339-nucleotide long non-coding RNA. RefSeq lists it as uncharacterized. NCBI's taxonomy places the organism in Eukaryota, Metazoa, Arthropoda, Arachnida, Scorpiones, Buthidae. The record is from RefSeq and is a predicted model, not a curated record. The transcript has 2 exons.
AUUUAACUUCGUAAGAAAAUCGUGAUCCAAGUUAGGAAGGAGAAGAGAAAAUGCGAUGUUAAUAUUGAGUAUUUGAUGAUUGUCGAGUGAGUGAGGGAGUGGAGUUCCUACGUGUACAAUCUGAUUUACAAGACGGAAAAAAAAGAAAAAGAAUGGCUAAAAGGGCUUACAGAAGGAGACAUCAAGUAAACACAUUAAAAAAUCAGACUGGCUUAACUAUUAAAAGUAACGUCACGAAACAUUAUGGUAAAUGAGAGACAUCACGCAAGAGAAACGAGUGUCUUUUUUACCGCAUAUAUUUUCGAACGAAUAAAUAUAAAGAUAAAAAUCGGUAAUUAA